This 258-nucleotide ribosomal RNA is filed under the name uncultured fungus. Its description in RNAcentral is "partial 18S ribosomal RNA". It matches the Rfam family "Eukaryotic small subunit ribosomal RNA", at positions 493 to 754 of the family's 1831-position model. Lineage: Eukaryota; Fungi. The record is from RNAcentral.
GCUUAUGGUCUUGUAAUUGGAAUGAGUAUAAAUUAAAUGCCUUUACAAGUAUCAAUUGGAGGGCAAGUCUGGUGCCAGCAGCCGCGGUAAUUCCAGCUCCAAUAGCGUAUAUUAAAGUUGUUGCAGUUAAAAAGCUCGUAGUUGAAUUUCGGGACAAGUUGCAGGAGCAGCCUCGCGGUUGCAUCUUGUACACUCAUCCCUACCUUCUGGCGAGCCACGGUGCUCUUUACUGAGUGCGGUGGGGAACCAGGACCUUUA